GAUGAAGAACGCAGCGAAAUGCGAUACGUAGUGUGAAUUGCAGAAUUCAGUGAAUCAUCGAAUCUUUGAACGCACAUUGCGCCCUUUGGUAUUCCAAAGGGCAUGCCUGUUCGAGCGUCAUUUGUACCUUCAAGCUUUGCUUGGUGUUGGGCGUUUUUUGUCUCCCUCUUUCUGGGAGACUCGCCUUAAAACGAUUGGCAGCCGGCCUACUGGUUUCGGAGCGCAGCACAUAUUUUGCGCUUUGUAUCAGGAGAAAAGGACGGUAAUCCAUCAAGACUCUACAUUUUUAACUUUUGACCUCGGAUCAGGUAGGGAUACCCGCUGAACUUAAGCAUAUCAAUAAGCGGAGGA
RNAcentral lists this unclassified non-coding RNA (351 nucleotides) under soil metagenome. RNAcentral describes it as "partial contains 5.8S ribosomal RNA, internal transcribed spacer 2, and large subunit ribosomal RNA". The stretch from base 1 to 120 matches the Rfam family "5.8S ribosomal RNA", at positions 35 to 154 of the family's 154-position model. The record is from RNAcentral.